GGAUCAGUACGCUGGUCGUGCCUUCGGUAUGUACUGGUGUUACUGGUUCCUACCUUCUGACGAACCGUCAUGUCAUUAAUUUGGUGUGGCGGGGAAUCAGGACUGUUACUUUGAAAAAAUUAGAGUGUUUAAAGCAGGCUCGCGCUUGAAUACAUUAGCAUGGAAUAAUAGAAUAGGACU
This 180-nucleotide ribosomal RNA is filed under the name uncultured Glomeromycotina. RNAcentral describes it as "partial small subunit ribosomal RNA". The stretch from base 38 to 180 matches the Rfam family "Eukaryotic small subunit ribosomal RNA", at positions 684 to 829 of the family's 1831-position model. The record is from RNAcentral. Lineage: Eukaryota; Fungi; Glomeromycota.